RNAcentral lists this ribosomal RNA (253 nucleotides) under uncultured bacterium. Its description in RNAcentral is "partial 16S ribosomal RNA". It matches the Rfam family "Bacterial small subunit ribosomal RNA", at positions 524 to 776 of the family's 1533-position model. The record is from RNAcentral.
UACGUAGGGGGCAAGCGUUGUCCGGAUUUACUGGGCGUAAAGAGCGUGUAGGCGGCCACGCAGGUCCGUUGUGAAAACUGGAGGCUCAACCUUCAGACGUCGACGGAAACCGUGUGGCUAGAGUCCGGAAGAGGAGAGUGGAAUUCCUGGUGUAGCGGUGAAAUGCGCAGAUAUCAGGAGGAACACCGAUGGCGAAGGCAGGUCUCUGGGCCACUACUGACGCUGAGAAGCGAAAGCAUGGGGAGCGAACAGG